UGAACAAGUGCUUUACAUUCAUUAUCUCACGUGAGCUUCUGGCAAGCCUGUGAAGUAGACGCUGUUGUCGCACUUUUACAGAUGUGGAGACUGAGAUUAAAUGAGUUACUCAAGGGCGUCAGCGAAAGUGUCAGAGCCUAGUUCCUGACCCAUGUUUGCCCAACUCCAGGGAGCGUGCUCGACAUCCAAGCAUGCUGCAACAGCUGGGGCCGAAAGCCUUUCCCACCCACCCAACCAGUUCCUUCUUCCUCCAACCUGGGCCUGACAUCCCACCCUUCUGCUGGUUCCUUUGGCAUGACUGAUGAUAAGAAAACGGAGGCACAGAAAGGUCAAGAAACGUGGCCAAUGUCAUUUGAGAGACACUACAUAACACAGAACUUCAAAGCCAUGGGACUCAGACUACACCUUGGUUCAAGUUCCAGGUCUACCACUUAGUAACCGUGGGAUCAUUACUUCUAGUCUGCAGCUCCAGUUCACCAUUUGUGAAAUGAUACCACAAAUCUUCUGCUGGAGGGAGAAAAAAGGAAAAGUGACCAAGAAGGGACUUGAGAUUGUUCUUCCAUGCAAACAUGACCCAAGAUGGCUGCAUUCAAGGACCAGGGUCCUGUCUGUGCUGCAGUGAGAACUGUCAGCCCCCUAGAGACUAGAGUCCUCUUCCCCUGCUCUCUGAGCAGUCCCUUCUUGCUUCCCCGGCGACCCUCUCACCCAUUCCUGUCGCUCCAGAGACACAGGCAUAGAUGUCAGGGAGGCCCAGACAGAGGCUCCGUGUGAUAGGCCUGGGACACUUUCACUCCAAAAUAUAGUCACCUCCCUACAGUGAGGCUGGCUGGCCAGGGGCCACCCUGUUCCAGUGACAAGUCUAAAAUAGGAAACCGUUUCUUAGAGAAGCACAAAACCAUUGCCUUUGAGAACAUAGAGUAACGCAGCAAGAAGAAACAGCCCUCUGGUCUGGAGGGCAGUUUCCUGGCGGCCUCUACUCCACCCAUCCCUCAGCAGGGCAGGGAACAGAAGGCCAGAGUGACUCGAGUGACUCGGGCAGUGGCUGAAUGCCCUGGAGGGGCCAUGCCCCUCACACAGGCCUGUGUCUGCUCAUCCCAAGCCUCGGCUCCACGUCAGCCUGCGGCAGGCAGCGGGGGAGGCUGGUGGGUGUGAUGACUUAGAGG
Non-coding RNA from Microcebus murinus (gray mouse lemur), 1163 nucleotides. The record is from RefSeq and is a predicted model, not a curated record. NCBI's taxonomy places the organism in Eukaryota, Metazoa, Chordata, Mammalia, Primates, Cheirogaleidae.